CGGCGUGCCUAACACAUGCAAGUCGAGCGAGAAAACUCCUUCGGGAGUGAGUAUAGCGGCGAACGGGUGUCUAACACGUAAGAAUCUUCCCUUUAGUGAAGAAUACCCUCGAGAAAUCGGGGUUAAUACUGCAUAAUCCCUACGGGGCAAAGGUGGCUUCAUGCUGCCGCUGAAGGAUGAGCUUGCGGGCUAUUAGCUAGUUGGUGAGGUAAAGGCUCACAAAGGCGAUGAUGGCUAGCCGGCCUGAGAGGGUGUACGGCCACAUUGGGACUGAGACACGGCCCAGACUCCUACGGGAGGCAGCAGUGGGGAAUAUUGCGCAAUGGGCGAAAGCCUGACGCAGCGACGCCGCGUGGAGGACGAAGGUCUUCGGAUUGUAAACUCCUGUUAAGCGGGAAGAAAACCCAAUCUCUAACAUAGAUUGGGUCUGACGGUACCGCUAGAGAAAGCACUGGCUAACCUCGUGCCAGCAGCCGCGGUAAUACGAGGGGUGCAAACGUUAUUCGGAUUUACUGGGUGUAAAGGGUGUGUAGACGGUCUGUUAAGUUCGUUGUUAAAUUUUUCGGCCUAACUGAAAAAAUGCGAUGAAAACUGGCGGACUUGAGGGUGAAAGAGAGAAGUGGAAUUCUCGGAGUA
Molecule: ribosomal RNA, 636 nt
Filed under: uncultured soil bacterium
Lineage: Bacteria
Description: bacterial SSU rRNA
Rfam family: Bacterial small subunit ribosomal RNA
Source: RNAcentral